This is a long non-coding RNA of Thamnophis elegans (Western terrestrial garter snake), 497 nucleotides long. RefSeq lists it as uncharacterized. The transcript is spliced from 3 exons. Lineage: Eukaryota; Metazoa; Chordata; Lepidosauria; Squamata; Natricidae. The record is from RefSeq and is a predicted model, not a curated record.
GCGGAUUGUCCAUUUUUGAUCUCAGAAAAUAAAAAGUUAGGAUGCUCUCUAGGUUUACUCUUUUUACAUUCCAGAUUUAACUCUUCUGGAACUGCUAAUCAAAUCUGUAUUAUUUUUGAAGGCAAUUCCUAGGACAGGCCAAGCCAACCUCUGCAGAAAAGGAGGAGGAAAAAUUGGACUUCUACAGGUUAAUAAUAGGAAGAAUCUGGACUAUGUGGAACUUCAACGUGCCUUCAUUUUGGGCCUAGGACAAUUCAUCGUGGCCAACUGGCUACAAGACAACUCACUGCAGGACAAGAGGUGAAAUAUGCAAACGAGGAAAAUUGACAAACUGGCCACUGGAUUCCUCCCAGGCAAACUUUUAUCAGAAGGCACUAAGAAAAGAAAGAAUUCUUGCACAGAAAAAGAAUGGCUCCAUCUUCAGAGGCAGAUGUUCUCCAGAUAAGCAGAAAGCUUCAGAACAAAGCUUCCUCUAAAUAAUAAUAAUUAAAAAAGGU